RNAcentral lists this ribosomal RNA (406 nucleotides) under uncultured bacterium. Its description in RNAcentral is "partial 16S ribosomal RNA". It matches the Rfam family "Bacterial small subunit ribosomal RNA", at positions 30 to 526 of the family's 1533-position model. The record is from RNAcentral.
AUUGAACGCUGGCGGCAGGCCUAACACAUGCAAGUCGAACGAGUGGCGAGCGGGUGAGUAAUGUCUGGAACACUGCCUGAUUGAGGGGGCUAACUACUGGAAACGGUAGCUAAUACCGCAUACCCUCAGAUGUGCCCAGAUGGGAUUAGCUUGUUGGUUGGGUAAAGACUCACCAAGGCUACGUUCCCUAGCUGGUCUGGGAGGAUGACCAGCAACACGGGAACGGAGACACGGGCCAGACUCCUGCGGGAGGCAGCAGUGGGGAAUAUGGCACAAUGGGCGCAAGCCUGAUACAGCCAUGCCGCGUGUAUGAAGAAGGCAUUCGGGUUGUAAAGUACUUUCAGCUGGGAGGCGUUACCCGCAGAAGAAGCACCGGCUAACUCCGUGCCAGCCGCCGCGGUAAUAC